CACACAAGAGGAGCGAGGAGAGAGUAGUUUAGCUUUGAGCGGUUCUCAUUACGCAUGCGCGAACGGUUGGAAUUCUUUCCGGCAGCAUCUGCUCAUCCCUUCUGUUCAUAAUAAUAAUAAGCAUUGCCCAGGCACGAAUCAAGGAACCUGAAAGGCACUGCAGACUAACUCAACCAGAGAAGUCAGCCAUAGCAGAGCACCUGAUGAACCAACCAGGACACAGAAAUGUUGGACCGCUCUCACCAGCACCAUGUCAGAGAAGCCAUUGACAUCCACAGACAUGUGGACAAUUUCAACAGAAAGGAGGAAACUAUGAAAAUGAACAACAUCUAGCUACCAGUAUUAAAAAAUUCUAACAUCAGGACAGUCAAUAAAGAACAACACUCAGAAAGCAGAGGAAUUCCAGACAGGAAACAAUCAGCCUCCAACAAUGCCUCCCAACUAAGGAUUCCCUCAGUCAGCAACCAGCCAGGCUUUGAAGCUGCGAGGCCAUUAAAUGCUAAUCAAAGUGAUUGACUAUAACAUUCACACUUGCCUCAAACAGACAGCAGCUCUUUCUCCCAACCUGGACCUUGCACAGAUAUAUAAACCCCACUUGCUUAGUAUUCAACAGACCUCACAACCUCUGAGGAUGCCUGCCAUAGAUGUGGGUGAAACAUCAGGAGAGAAUGCUUCUGGAACAUGUCCAUGCUGCUGCUGCUCAAUCACAUAGUCAUUUCCGACUCUUUGUCACCUCAUGGACCAGUCCACGCCAGAGCUCCCCAUUGGCUGUCGCCGCCCCCAGUUCCUUCAAGGUCAAGCCGUUCACUUCAAGGAUGUCCAUCUCAGAAAACUUACAUCAACCCAGUGAUUCCAGCCAUGGAAGCCUUUGACAACACAAUAAUAAUAAGGUACAGUAGAGUCUCACUUAUCCAACAUUCGCUCAUCCAACAUUCUGGAUUAUUCAACAAGGUCUGCCUCCCACCUGGAUCUCUAGGCAGCAAGGACUGAACUUUUUACGGAUUUAAUUUUCGACAAUGUUGUUACUAUAUAACAGAAAUACAGUGUCGCUCACUACAGCUGCUCCUGAAUGAAUACACGAGACUCGCUGUGUUGUCACCAGAAAGUUUACUGCAGGAAACAUCGACAUGGAAAAAGCCAAGAAUGGGAAGCGUCUGCCAGCAUUCCUUUAUAUACCCUUCCCCCUCAUUUGAAGAAGCAUUUCCCGCCCAACAAAACCCCGCGAAGUUUCCCCGCCAAGUCCAGCAGCCGUUUCUUCUCAGGAUCCCAAGAUGCAGGUGUCUUAUCAGUCCACAUUGUCAGUGACCCUGAAACUCAGAGCUAUACCCAGGCUCUAGUAGCAGGGUUCUGACAACGGCAUCCUCCUCCCCUUCGUCCUGAAAGAAAAAGAUUAAAUACAACUAUUGUUC
Molecule: long non-coding RNA, 1409 nt
Organism: Anolis carolinensis (green anole)
Lineage: Eukaryota; Metazoa; Chordata; Lepidosauria; Squamata; Anolidae
Exons: 3
Source: RefSeq, a predicted model, not a curated record